UGGGGAAUAUUGGACAAUGGGCGAAAGCCUGAUCCAGCCAUGCCGCGUGUGUGAAGAAGGUCUUCGGAUUGUAAAGCACUUUAAGUUGUGAGGAAGGGCAGUAAGCGAAUACCUUGCUGUUUUGACGUUACCGACAGAAUAAGCACCGGCUAACUCUGUGCCAGCAGCCGCGGUAAUACAGAGGGUGCAAGCGUUAAUCGGAAUUACUGGGCGUAAAGCGCGCGUAGGUGGUUCGUUAAGUUGAAUGUGAAAGCCCCGGGCUCAACCUGGGAACUGCAUCCCAAACUGGCGAGCUAGAGUAGGGCAGAGGGUGGUGGAAGUUCCUGUGUAGCGGUGAAGUGCGUAGAUAUAGGAAGGAACACCAGUGGCGAAGGCGACCACCUGGGCUCAUACUGACACUGAGGUGCGAAAGCGUGGGGAGCAAACAGG
This 429-nucleotide ribosomal RNA is filed under the name Pseudomonadota bacterium. RNAcentral's name for it is "Proteobacteria bacterium partial 16S ribosomal RNA". It matches the Rfam family "Bacterial small subunit ribosomal RNA", at positions 355 to 776 of the family's 1533-position model. The record is from RNAcentral. Lineage: Bacteria; Pseudomonadati; Pseudomonadota.